UCCGCCGUGGCGUAAUUGGAAACGCAGCUGGUUUUGGUCCAGAAGAUUCCAGGUUCGAGUCCUGGCGGCGGAGCCA
Molecule: transfer RNA, 76 nt
Filed under: Actinomadura craniellae
Lineage: Bacteria; Bacillati; Actinomycetota; Actinomycetes; Streptosporangiales; Thermomonosporaceae
Description: Actinomadura sp. LHW63021 tRNA-Gln
Rfam family: tRNA
About the family: Transfer RNA (tRNA) molecules are approximately 80 nucleotides in length.
Source: RNAcentral